Non-coding RNA from Arabis alpina (gray rockcress), 231 nucleotides. Lineage: Eukaryota; Viridiplantae; Streptophyta; Magnoliopsida; Brassicales; Brassicaceae. The record is from Rfam.
UGUAACAAAAAGGAGCUCCCUUCGUCCAAAACGAAGAGGACAAGAUCUUAAGGAAAUCAAAAAAGAUAAAAUCUAAUUGUUCAUGGAUUCCCCAUAGAAAGUGCGUAUGUUAGCUUGAAGAAAGCGCACUUUAAGGGGUUUGCAUGGCCUUUUAGAUUUUUCUCUCUUUCUCUAUAUUUAAUCCUUCUCUUCUCUUCGUUUGGAUUGAAGGGAGCUCCUUAUCUUAUCGUU